This 400-nucleotide ribosomal RNA is filed under the name uncultured bacterium. Its description in RNAcentral is "bacterial SSU rRNA". It matches the Rfam family "Bacterial small subunit ribosomal RNA", at positions 355 to 771 of the family's 1533-position model. The record is from RNAcentral.
UGAGGAAUAUUGGUCAAUGGGGGCAACCCUGAACCAGCGACGCCGCGUGAGGGACGAAGGUCUUCGGAUUGUAAACCUCUUUUGCAGGGGACGAGAAUGGACGGUACCCUGCGAAUAAGCCUCGGCUAACUACGUGCCAGCAGCCGCGGUAAUACGUAGGAGGCAAGCGUUAUCCGGAGUUACUGGGCGUAAAGCGUCUGUAGGUGGUUGAACACGUCUGCUGUGAAAGGGUUUUGCUUAACAAAACAACGGCGGCGGAUACGGUUCGACUAGAGGGUCGUAGAGGAGCGCGGAAUUCCGGGUGUAGUGGUAAAAUGCGUAGAGAUCCGGAGGAACACCAGCGGCGCAAGCGGCGCUCUGGGCGACAACUGACACUGAGAGACGACGGCAUAGGGAGCGA